CCAGACUCCUACGGGAGGCAGCAGUGGGGAAUAUUGCACAAUGGGGGAAACCCUGAUGCAGCAACGCCGCGUGAGUGAAGAAGUCAUUCGUGAUGUAAAGCUCUAUCAGCAGGGAAGAAAAUGACGGUACCUGAGUAAGAAGCCCCGGCUAACUACGUGCCAGCAGCCGCGGUAAUACGUAGGGGGCAAGCGUUAUCCGGAUUUACUGGGUGUAAAGGGAGCGUAGACGGCAGUGCAAGUCCGGAGUGAAAGCCCGGGGCUCAACCCUGGGACUGCUCUGGAAACUGUACGGCUGGAGUGCAGGAGAGGUAAGUGGAAUUCCUAGUGUAGCGGUGAAAUGCGUAGAUAUUAGGAGGAACACCAGUGGCGAAGGCGGCUUACUGGACUGUAACUGACGUUGAGGCUCGAAAGCGUGGGGAGCAAACAGGAUUAGGUACCCGUGUAGAC
RNAcentral lists this ribosomal RNA (447 nucleotides) under uncultured bacterium. RNAcentral describes it as "bacterial SSU rRNA". It matches the Rfam family "Bacterial small subunit ribosomal RNA", at positions 331 to 795 of the family's 1533-position model. The record is from RNAcentral.